AUGCGUAUAUUGAGAUGGAUGUGUGGCCACAUGAGGAAGGAUCGAGUCCGGAAUGAUGAUAUACGAGAUAGAGUUGGGGUAGCACCAAUUGAGGAGAAGCUUGUCCAACAUCGUUUGAGAUGGUUUGGGCAUAUUCAGCGCAGGACUCCAGAAGCUCCAGUGCAUAGCGGACGGUUAAAGCGUGCGGAGAAUGUCAAGAGAGGGCGGGGUCGACCAAAUUUGACAUGGGAGGAGUCCGUUAAAAGAGACCUAAAGGAUUGGAGUAUCGACAAAGAGCUAGCUAUGGACAGGGGUGCGUGGAAGCUUGCUAUCCAUGUGCCAGAGGCAUGA
RNAcentral lists this ribosomal RNA (330 nucleotides) under Triticum aestivum (bread wheat). RNAcentral describes it as "partial small subunit ribosomal RNA". Lineage: Eukaryota; Viridiplantae; Streptophyta; Magnoliopsida; Poales; Poaceae. The record is from RNAcentral.